GUUUUCUGCCACCUAUUAUUAGACUUUGUGGAAAACUUGAGAUGUUGGACAGAUUGCUUCCCAAGCUCAAAGCAACUGGUCAUCGAGUUCUUUUUUCUCAACAAUGACGAGGUUGCUGGAUGUCCUGGAGGAUUAUCUCUGUUGGAAACGAUAUAGGUACCUUCGUUUGGACGGACACGCCUCUAGCCUUGACCGUGGAGCUUUAGUUGAUGAAUUCAACCGUUCUGACUCACAAGCAUUCAUAUUUCUCCUAAGCAUUCGAGCUGGAGGGGUUGGUGUAAAUCUUCAAGCUGUAGAUACUGUCAUCCUAUUUGACACUGACUGGAAUCCACAGGCAAUAUUCACUUCUUGGGAUCCUAUAUUUAUAAUUAUUGUUAGUUUAAGAUUGUCAUCUAACAUUUUCCCUGAGGAUGUAGGUUAGAUACUGUCAUCCUAUUUGACACUGACUGGAAUCCACAAGCAAUAUUCACUUCUUGGGAUCCUAUAUUUAUAAUUAUUGUUAGUUUAAGAUUGUCAUCUAACAUUUUCCCUGAGGAUGUAGGUUGAUUUGCAAGCUCAAGCAAGGGCCCACCGAAUUGGACAAAAGAGGGUUGUACUUGUUCUAUGGUUGGAGACAGUAUGUUGUAUAUUCAUUAGUAAAGCUUACAUAAAGGAUGCUGAUAUCAUACUUGCCACUUUAUAAACAAUUUUUUUUACAAUUAUCUUUUUUUCCCUUGAUUUUUCUGUCAAUGGAUAUC
Long non-coding RNA from Zingiber officinale, 737 nucleotides. RefSeq lists it as uncharacterized. The record is from RefSeq and is a predicted model, not a curated record. The transcript is spliced from 3 exons. Lineage: Eukaryota; Viridiplantae; Streptophyta; Magnoliopsida; Zingiberales; Zingiberaceae.